This 497-nucleotide ribosomal RNA is filed under the name uncultured bacterium. Its description in RNAcentral is "partial 16S ribosomal RNA". It matches the Rfam family "Bacterial small subunit ribosomal RNA", at positions 28 to 507 of the family's 1533-position model. The record is from RNAcentral.
GAUGAACGCUGGCGGCGUGCCUAAUACAUGCAAGUCGAGCGAACAGACGAGGAGCUUGCUCCUCUGACGUUAGCGGCGGACGGGUGAGUAACACGUGGAUAACCUACCUAUAAGACUGGGAUAACUUCGGGAAACCGGAGCUAAUACCGGAUAAUAUAUUGAACCGCAUGGUUCAAUAGUGAAAGACGGUUUUGCUGUCACUUAUAGAUGGAUCCGCGCCGCAUUAGCUAGUUGGUAAGGUAACGGCUUACCAAGGCAACGAUGCGUAGCGGACCUGAGAGGGUGAUCGGCCACACUGGAACUGAGACACGGUCCAGACUCCUACGGGAGGCAGCAGUAGGGAAUCUUCCGCAAUGGGCGAAAGCUUGACGGAGCAACGCCGCGUGAGUGAUGAAGGUCUUCGGAUCGUAAAACUCUGUUAUUAGGGAAGAACAAAUGUGUAAGUAACUAUGCACGUCUUGACGGUACCUAAUCAGAAAGCCACGGCUAACUACGUG